Molecule: ribosomal RNA, 2648 nt
Filed under: Viehoperla ada
Lineage: Eukaryota; Metazoa; Arthropoda; Insecta; Plecoptera; Peltoperlidae
Description: eukaryotic LSU rRNA
Rfam family: Eukaryotic large subunit ribosomal RNA
Source: RNAcentral
ACCCCAGCGUAAUUUAAGCAUAUUAAUAAGCGGAGGAAAAGAAACUAACUAGGAUUCCCUCAGUAGCUGCGAGCGAACAGGGAAGAGCCCAGCACCGAAUCCUGUCCGUCACGCGCGGAUCUGGAAAUGUGGUGUUUGGGAGGGCCCGUCCAAAUCUCGCCCGACCGUGUCCGUCCAAGUCCAUCUUGAAAGUGGCCACAGCCCGUAGAGGGUGCCAGGCCCGUAGGACGACGCGGAGAACAUGUCGGGCGAAAGGGUCUCUCCUCAGAGUCGGGUUGCUUGAGAGUGCAGCUCUAAGUGGGUGGUAAACUCCAUCUAAGGCUAAAUAUGACCACAAGACCGAUAGCGAACAAGUACCGUGAGGGAAAGUUGAAAAGAACUUUGAAGAGAGAGUUCAAGAGUACGUGAAACCGUUCGGGGGUAAACGGACGAAAUCUGGAAAAUCGAAGGGAGUGAUUCAUGCCCGUCCGCCGUCACGAGUGGCGCAGCGGCCGUCGAUGGCGCGUAUCCGGUCCCGUCCCGCCCGCAAGGGUGGGCACGGAUCGCCGGGUCCGUCACGUGCGGUCGUGUGGCGCUCUCGGGCGCGGGUUGCACUUCUCUCCUUGUAGUACGUCGCGACCCGUUGGGUGUGCGUCAAAGGCCCGUGCGUGGAGCCGACGGACGUGUCCGGCGUGCGGGAGGUCUCGGCCUCUCGUGUCGUCCGGCCGUCCGACGACCGCUGCGGUGACCCGACGCACUCGCCCGACGGUAUGCACGAAGACGAACGUGGCGAAAAGAACCGACGCGCGUGCCAAACGUGCGGUCGGCGGCCCUCGGGUACGCCUCGCGUCAGCGACGCUCCAUUCAGAGCAUCAUCCGACCCGUCUUGAAACACGGACCAAGGAGUCUAACAUGUACGCGAGUCAUUGGGACCGCACAAAACCUAAAGGCGAAAUGAAAGUAAAGGCCGUGGCGAGAGCCCGUGCCCACACAUUGAAAGAGGGGAGAUGCUUGGAAUCCAUGUAGCGAUACUUGCCGCAUCCCCGGGACGUCUCGUUGUCAUCGCGACACAGUAGGCGUACCCAGAGCGUACACGUUGGGACCCGAAAGAUGGUGAACUAUGCCUGGUCAGGUCGAAGUCAGGGGAAACCCUGAUGGAGGACCGUAGCGAUUCUGACGUGCAAAUCGAUCGUCAGAGCUGGGUAUAGGGGCGAAAGACUAAUCGAACCAUCUAGUAGCUGGUUCCCUCCGAAGUUUCCCUCAGGAUAGCUGGCGUUCGAGUCUGCAAUGGCCGUGGCGCUUGCGCCGCGCGUCCUUUACAGUCUCAUCUGGUAAAGCGAAUGAUUAGAGGCCUUGGGGCCGAAACGACCUCAACCUAUUCUCAAACUUUAAAUGGGUGAGAUACUCGACUUGCUCGAAAGAUGAAGUCGAGGCGCGUACGUCUCUAGAGGCGUGCGCGCGCGAAGCGGAUGAACGAGUGCCAAGUGGGCCAAUUUUGGUAAGCAGAACUGGUGCUGUGGGAUGAACCAAACGUCGAGUUAAGGCGCCUAAAUCGAUGCUCAUGGGAUACCAUGAAAGGCGUUGGUUGCUUAAGACAGCAGGACGGUGGCCAUGGAAGUCGGAAUCCGCUAAGGAGUGUGUAACAACUCACCUGCCGAAGCAACUAGCCCUGAAAAUGGAUGGCGCUCAAGCAUCGUGCCUAUACUCGACCGUCACCGGCAAAAGAGGCGACGAAAUUGUGCGUCGUUCUCACGAGGCCGUGACGAGUAGGAGGGUCGCGACGGUGUGCGCAGAAGCGUUGGCCGUGAGGCCGCGUGGAGCCGCCGUCGGUGCAGAUCUUGGUGGUAGUAGCAAAUACACUAGAGAGGCCCUGGUGGACUGACGUGGAGAAGGGUUUCGUGUGAACAGCCGUUGCACACGAGUCAGUCGAUCCUAAGCCCCAGGAGAAAUCCGAUGUUGAUGUGCAGUCGUAUAAGCGAGAGCGAUAACGAGCGCCCUCUGUGCGUGUACGGCGGUUGUCUGGCGUGGCGCGCGUGCGUGGCGGAGGCUUCGUGGCGAUCUCACGCACACGACGAGACGGAGACGUGGAGGUGUAGACUUCGAAGAGGUUGUGCACGCCACUCUCGUACAACGUCCGUCGUGUGUGCGCCCGGUCACGCGCGCGCGCGCGUGCGCGCCCUCCUCGUGCACGCACGGCUGUGGCGAAUCCACUCAUUCACACUCGACUUGACCACAUCGGGCGAAAGGGAAUCCGUUUCCUAUUACGGAACCUGGCAGCGGAACCGACCAUGCGGGCCACUGUCGGUCGCCCGUCGUGCCGGCGUCGGGGUAGUGCGCUCCGCGCGUGCUGCUCUCGGCGACGUGUCACGUACGGUGUCGCCCGGCAACUCGUCGGGGUAACCCAAAAGGACCCGGAGACGCCGUCGGAUGAUCGAGGCAGAGUUUUCUGUUCUGUAUGAGCGUUCGAGUUCCCUGGAAUCGCCUAGCGCGGAGAUAGGGUUUGGAACGCGAAGAGCACCGCACUUGCGGCGGUGUCUCGAUCUAUCCCUCGGACCUUGAAAAUCCGGGAGAGGGCCACGUGGAGGUGUCGCGCCAGUUCGUACCCAUAUCCGCAGCCGGUCUCCGAGGUGAGCAGCCUCUAGUCGAUAGAAUAAUGUAGGUAAGGGAAG